CCUCCUGGGGCCCGCACUCUCGCU
RNAcentral lists this microRNA (24 nucleotides) under Eptesicus fuscus (big brown bat). RNAcentral describes it as "efu-miR-1343". Lineage: Eukaryota; Metazoa; Chordata; Mammalia; Chiroptera; Vespertilionidae. The record is from miRBase by way of RNAcentral.